UCUACGGGAGGCAGCAGUGAGGAAUUUUGCGCAAUGGGGGAAACCCUGACGCAGCAACGCCGCGUGGAGGAAGAAGGUCUUCGGAUUGUAAAGCUCUGUCUUUUGGGACGAUAAUGAUGGUACCAAAGGAGGAAGCCACGGCUAACUACGUGCCAGCAGCCGCGGUAAUA
Molecule: ribosomal RNA, 170 nt
Filed under: uncultured Clostridium sp.
Lineage: Bacteria; Bacillati; Bacillota; Clostridia; Eubacteriales; Clostridiaceae
Description: partial 16S ribosomal RNA
Rfam family: Bacterial small subunit ribosomal RNA
Source: RNAcentral